GCCUGUCUACACUCGCUGCUUUCCUUCCUCACCUCCAAUUUCCCCUCCAACCCACUGCUUCCUGACUCGCUCUUCUCCAUCGAACGGCUCUCGCUCAGGUUCCACGAGCUGCCCAUCUCCACAGAAGAGCAGCUGGCAUUGCCCUCCGGCCAUGCUGGCUGAAGAAAAGAAGACUGAGGACCCCAGGACGUCCAGCGCGAGGACCCCAGGAAGCUCAGCGCGAGGACCCCAGGAAGCUCAGCGCGAGGACCCCACCCACAAUGCCCAGCGCGAGGACCUCACGCACAACACGUUGCAACCCUUCUGGAUUAGGCCAAAGCCAUCAUCUGGAAUCCUGCGUGGGACCCUGGACACACGGACACAGACACCUGCCCCUGGGACCCUCCAACUGUAAAUUCUUCCACAGCCACAGGGACGCCUUGCACAUUUCCUGUGGGAUAUACUGGACCCAAGACUCUGGACCCUGGCCUCCCCUUGAGUAGAGAGACCCACCUACUGACUGAACUGUGCUGACCCUGGGGUCAGGCAUGUGGCCUUGAUCCCUGUCUAUGGACCCUGAGACUUGGGGGGGGGGGGAAGGCUGUUGAGUCUUCACUGUUGAGUCCACAUCUGUGAAAUGGGCUCAGGUUCCUACCUCACAGGGCUGUUGUGAGGCAGCUGCAAUGUGCUUAGAAGCAUGGGGCCUGGUGGCUCAUGGUGCUUUCAAUAAAUGUUUUUUGUCUUAAC
RNAcentral lists this long non-coding RNA (726 nucleotides) under Mus pahari (shrew mouse). RNAcentral's name for it is "lncRNA (MGP_PahariEiJ_G0006358.1)". Lineage: Eukaryota; Metazoa; Chordata; Mammalia; Rodentia; Muridae. The record is from RNAcentral.